This 713-nucleotide long non-coding RNA is filed under the name Salvia miltiorrhiza (redroot sage). RNAcentral's name for it is "long non-coding RNA (SMIL_LNC006199)". The record is from RNAcentral. Lineage: Eukaryota; Viridiplantae; Streptophyta; Magnoliopsida; Lamiales; Lamiaceae.
UCCCGUUAAAAACGACCACAUUCUUUUCAGCAUAGAAAUUAAGAAGAGAAUUAUUAUGUUUUAAUUAAGUGUGGUCCACCAAAAUUAAAGAAUUAAUUAAGACUUCUUGAACCAAAAUCUUUAUCUUCUUCCAAUGCAUAUAUUCCAUUUUCUGACCGCCGGCGAUGCCGGGGACGGAGACGGAGACGCCGGCGACCAGAUUUUUCAGAAAAAUAAAUGCAUAGCCAGAAAGCCAAACCGGACACCCCUCUAAACUCAUAGCCAGAAGCCAAACCAGACACCCAUCUCAAACCAAACCAAGCCAGAAGCCAAACAAAGACGGAGACGGACGGAGUCGCCCCCUCGCCAAAUCAGAAGCCCUAGCCCUUUGUCUCCGCUGCCAGAAGCCAAAUCAGACACCCUCUGUCUCCGCCGCCAACCGGAGCCCUAGCCCCCAAAAUCGCGCGGUGAGGGAAAAGGGUUGUCGCCACCGCCAGAGGUUGCGGGGGACGUCGAACCCCAAAGAAUUGAGAGUCAGAGAUUGCACAGAGAAUGGGACCAAAGGGUUGCACUCACAGAGCUUUGGAUCGAAACUCACCUUCUUCUCCGGCAAUUUGGGUGUCGUCGCUACCGAUUUUGGGGUGCUGCCAACGAGUGCCGCUGCCCACAGCAGCGGAGGUUAGAAGAGAAAGUGGUGAGCGAGAAGACUAGAUAGAGAACUAAGAGAGAGAGAG